This is a small nuclear RNA of Anolis carolinensis (green anole), 100 nucleotides long. Its record names the gene U2. It matches the Rfam family "U2 spliceosomal RNA". From Rfam's summary of the family: U2 is a small nuclear RNA (snRNA) component of the spliceosome (involved in pre-mRNA splicing). The record is from Ensembl. NCBI's taxonomy places the organism in Eukaryota, Metazoa, Chordata, Lepidosauria, Squamata, Anolidae.
AACUCUUAUUGGCCUUUUGGUUAAGAUCAAGUGUAGUAUCUGUUCAUAUCAGUUUAAUAACAGGGACAAAUGCAAGAUACUUCACUUAGGAAGAAAAAAU